Molecule: ribosomal RNA, 497 nt
Filed under: uncultured bacterium
Lineage: Bacteria
Description: partial 16S ribosomal RNA
Rfam family: Bacterial small subunit ribosomal RNA
Source: RNAcentral
GAUGAACGCUGGCGGCGUGCCUAAUACAUGCAAGUCGAGCGAACAGACGAGGAGCUUGCUCCUCUGACGUUAGCGGCGGACGGGUGAGUAACACGUGGAUAACCUACCUAUAAGACUGGGAUAACUUCGGGAAACCGGAGCUAAUACCGGAUAAUAUAUUGAACCGCAUGGUUCAAUAGUGAAAGACGGUUUUGCUGUCACUUAUAGGUGGAUCCGCGCCGCAUUAGCUAGUUGGUAAGGUAACGGCUUACCAAGGCAACGAUGCGUAGCCGACCUGAGAGGGUGAUCGGCCACACUGGAACUGAGACACGGUCCAGACUCCUACGGGAGGCAGCAGUAGGGAAUCUUCCGCAAUGGGCGAAAGCCUGACGGAGCAACGCCGCGUGAGUGAUGAAGGUCUUCGGAUCGUAAAACUCUUUUAUUAGGGAAGAACAAAUGUGUAAGUAACUAUUCACGUCUUGACGGUACCUAAUCAGAAAGCCACGGCUAACUACGUG